Molecule: long non-coding RNA, 874 nt
Organism: Tarenaya hassleriana
Lineage: Eukaryota; Viridiplantae; Streptophyta; Magnoliopsida; Brassicales; Cleomaceae
Exons: 3
Source: RefSeq, a predicted model, not a curated record
UGACGUGGCGAUAUAUGAUUCGGUCGUCAUCGAGUGCACGCUACGCGCCGCCGCAUGAUCAUCCGUACUCAAGAGUCACGCCGCAAAUAAAAGGGCCUCGAUUUUUUGUGUUCGGUUUCUCUGCGAAGAGUUUCAUUGUUCUCGCUAGAUUCUCUCCGCUCCUCUCGAUUGCAAUCAAUAUUUGGGGAAAAAAUGCUGAUUGGUUGCCGAGAAAAUUCACCGGCUCAUUUGCCGGGGAUCUGGUUAUGAUUUUCUGCAAGAUCACUUGGGAAUCAAGUUGAUUGUACUGUUUCACUUCUGUUUUCGGUAGAUUCUGGCUAUUGAUGCGAGAUCAGAUUGAUGGUGUUUAAGUGAUCGUGAUCGAAGUGAAUUUCCAUUCUCAUUCUGAUGUUGAUUUGGUUUAUCUGAUUGUAUAUGGAAAUAUGCUCUCUAUCCAGUGGUCGGUGAUUCUAGCAGAUUCAAUGCUUCAUUCGCAAUGCUAAGUUUCAUCAUGAAACUAUUGGUCUUAUUUUGAUUUUAGAUGUUCCGAAUUCAGAGUCAAUGUUCACAGUAGUUUGAUCGGCCAAAAAAAGUUUGAGAUCUGAUUUCCACAACGGUGUUGCGAUUGUUUAACGCGAGCUCCAAGGACCAUUUUCAAGAGAGAACUUGACGGGAUCCAAGUAGAAUUGCAGGCAACCGAUCCAACAGAGAUGGGCCUCGAUGUCAUCAAAAGCCGUGCCAAUUAGCUCAAACCCACCUCAUUUCUAAACGAAAAGAAUGGAGGGCUUCCUUCAAAACACCGGGCAGGGUUGCAGCCAGUUACCUGGGGUACAGUCUUCCACAAGAAGAAGCUGAAGAACUUUAGGAACCCUGCAAAACCAUAUAAUAUGAAAAC